CAGCUCUACCAGCUGAGACGGGUACAGUCUGGUUCUCUUCCUCCAUUUUUGCUGGGUUGCCGUCCUCACCUGGGAGUGCACAUCAGGAUGGUCCAGCUGCUUGCAUUGUGGGAAGAGAUCUAAGAGACUCAAGAUUCUUUCUCUUCUUUCUUCCUGCCUUGAAGUUGUAACGGCCCUUCAUCUUUUGCUAUCUCAAAUGCCCCACACAGAACCUCCAAAACCUCCCAUCAGUACAAAGGAACCCAACAAAGUCUAAGGUGAUUAGAAGGAAAAUGGUUUGUGAGUAUUGCUGCUGCUUCUCCCAAAUGGAACUUACAGAAAACUUUCUACCAGCCUUGACCAGUUCUCCACCAACCCAUUGGUUCAUAUGGUGAGGCAGAACCCAAGGACAAGAGGACCUUUCAUAGGACCGGAUGGAAACUCUGAUACUUUUGUGAAGAGCUCUAUAUAAUUAGUCCCCAGUGCACUGUGGAGGUGGCUCUGCCAUUUUGACAACGUAAUUUAAAACCUGACUUUGCUUUAGAAUUGCCUCUGUGAUCACUGCUAAAAUCCGCCCUGCUCCUGGGCCACGAGCUCCACACCACAGCCCAAAGUGGGAGUGACAACUUGGAC
RNAcentral lists this long non-coding RNA (612 nucleotides) under Equus caballus (horse). RNAcentral describes it as "lncRNA (ENSECAG00000058661.1)". Lineage: Eukaryota; Metazoa; Chordata; Mammalia; Perissodactyla; Equidae. The record is from RNAcentral.